UACGGGGGGAGCAAGCGUUGUUCGGAAUUACUGGGCGUAAAGAGUGUGUAGGCGGUGUUCUAAGUUUGUCGUGAAAUCUCCCGGCUUAACUGGGAGGGUGCGGCGAAAACUGGAAUGCUAGAGGAUGGGAGAGGUAAGCGGAAUUCCUGGUGUAGCGGUGAAAUGCGUAGAUAUCAGGAGGAACACCUGUGGUGUAGACAGCUUACUGGACCGGUAUUGACGCUGAGGAGCGAAAGCCAGGGGAGCAAACGGG
RNAcentral lists this ribosomal RNA (253 nucleotides) under uncultured bacterium. Its description in RNAcentral is "partial 16S ribosomal RNA". It matches the Rfam family "Bacterial small subunit ribosomal RNA", at positions 524 to 776 of the family's 1533-position model. The record is from RNAcentral.